AGAGAAGGUUACAAGAGCGAACGGCGGAUGCCUAGGCUUCUGGAGGCGAUGAAGGACGUGGUAAGCUGCGCAAAGCACCGGGGAACUGCAAACAGGUAUUGAUCCGGUGAUAUCCGAAUGGGGCAACCCGGCUGGCUGAAGGCCAGUCACUGACAAAGUCAGAGCAAACGCGGGGAACUGAAACAUCUCAGUACCCGCAGGAAGAGAAAGAAAAUAUCGAUUCCCUUAGUAGUGGCGAUCGAACGGGGAAGAGCCUAAACCGAUGUUGUUACGGCAUCAUCGGGGUUGUAGGACCAGCCAUAAGAUUAUCUGAAUCGAACUGGAACGUUCUGGAAAGUUCGAUCAUAGAGGGUGAUAAUCCCGUACAGGUAAGAUUUGGUUAACGAGGCUGGCACCUGAGUAGGGCGGGACACGUGAAAUCCUGUCUGAAUCCGCGGGGACCAUCCCGCAAGGCUAAAUACUCCCAGAAGACCGAUAGUGUACCAGUACUGUGAAGGAAAGGUGGGAAG
RNAcentral lists this ribosomal RNA (509 nucleotides) under Bacteroidales bacterium. RNAcentral describes it as "partial 23S ribosomal RNA". It matches the Rfam family "Bacterial large subunit ribosomal RNA", at positions 1 to 521 of the family's 2925-position model. The record is from RNAcentral. Lineage: Bacteria; Pseudomonadati; Bacteroidota; Bacteroidia; Bacteroidales.